AUUAUGAGUUUUCAAUUGUUGAAUUUAAAUCUUGCCUUUUAUUGAACAAUGAAACUAGAUCGUUACUCGUGCCAUAUCAUCACACAUGACUAGUGCACAGGUUGAAUGACGUGCAAGGUUGAAGGUUCACGAGUCUGCGAAUUCCUUGGACCAGCAGAUAUGGUGAAAUCUCUCACAAAUUUAUAUCGGUCUAAGAGAGGCAACUGUGUUCUGUAGACUUAUGCUAUCUCCCUUGGUUAAUGAAUCUAUCAGCUGUUGAGACAAGGGAAGAAAACUUUCGAGAUUUCAAGUUUCAAAGGAAAUUAUUUCCCUUGGUCUGUUGUCCCGGUCGCUUGACGACGAAAGGCCCCCUCACACCAGUCGGAAGGAAGGUGAUGAGCGAUAUGAUACAAUGACCGACAUACCUGAUUGCAGACGAAUUUUCCGCGUUAACUUCUAGAAUGAGUUCAAGCACAAAUUUGCAUACGGGUCGAAUAUCAACAUCAAGAGCAGACGAUGCGAACUUUCGUGUUGACCAACUGCGACAAACACAGACUCUCCAUUAAACUGCCGACUUCAAAAGAGCUAGAGUUGCAGGGGACAAAACACAGCCGGGUACUUUUAAAGGUGGCUCAAGGUGUAAACGCUGGAGGUAAAGCAUCUGACUCAUCGUCUGCGCAAUAUCCUCACGAACCCCACUCCCUCUAACACAAAGUGCAGACGUUAAACAAAUCUCACUCACAAAUAAAAGGCG
Molecule: long non-coding RNA, 733 nt
Organism: Pomacea canaliculata
Lineage: Eukaryota; Metazoa; Mollusca; Gastropoda; Architaenioglossa; Ampullariidae
Exons: 3
Source: RefSeq, a predicted model, not a curated record